GUGUUCCAUGUUUUAUUACGAAUCUGUGUGCUUUCCUCUGCUUUCCUCUGUUUUAUAUUACUUAUGGGAGCCGUAUUUAUUUUAUGUAAUCUGCUUCUGUGCUUUACUAUGUGUUUGUGUGGUAUCUCGUGUCUUGAGCCGGGGGUCUAUCGGAAACAGCCUUUCUACUUCAUCAGAGGUAGAGGUAUGGACUGCGUACAUCUUACCCCCCCAGACCCCACUAGGUGGGAAUACACUGGGUUUGUUGUUGUUGUUGUUGUUAU
RNAcentral lists this long non-coding RNA (263 nucleotides) under Capsicum annuum. RNAcentral describes it as "long non-coding RNA (CANN_LNC020428)". The record is from RNAcentral. Lineage: Eukaryota; Viridiplantae; Streptophyta; Magnoliopsida; Solanales; Solanaceae.